GAACUUUUUGAUUCAUUUUGGAAAGGUAAGACCGAAUUUCAUUUUUGAUCCUGGCAUUGGGUUAAGCAUCCCAAUUUUGAAUAAGCAUCUGAAAAGAUCAUUUGUGUUUAUAAUUUUUAGUGUCUCUAAUUCCUUUCAUUCUCGUGUAGGUGACACUCUAAAUUGUUUCCCUCUUAAAGAGGGAGGGCAUGGAAAUAAUUCAAUUUCUUAUCGAACC
RNAcentral lists this long non-coding RNA (217 nucleotides) under Gossypium barbadense (sea-island cotton). Its description in RNAcentral is "long non-coding RNA (GBAR_LNC020944)". Lineage: Eukaryota; Viridiplantae; Streptophyta; Magnoliopsida; Malvales; Malvaceae. The record is from RNAcentral.